RNAcentral lists this ribosomal RNA (468 nucleotides) under uncultured bacterium. RNAcentral's name for it is "partial 16S ribosomal RNA". It matches the Rfam family "Bacterial small subunit ribosomal RNA", at positions 28 to 507 of the family's 1533-position model. The record is from RNAcentral.
GACGAACGCUGGCGGCGUGCUUAACACAUGCAAGUCGAACGGAAAGGCCCUGCUUUUGUGGGGUGCUCGAGUGGCGAACGGGUGAGUAACACGUGAGUAACCUGCCCUUGACUUUGGGAUAACUUCAGGAAACUGGGGCUAAUACCGGAUAGGAGCUCCUGCUGCAUGGUGGGGGUUGGAAAGUUUCGGCGGUUGGGGAUGGACUCGCGGCUUAUCAGCUUGUUGGUGGGGUAGUGGCUUACCAAGGCUUUGACGGGUAGCCGGCCUGAGAGGGUGACCGGCCACAUUGGGACUGCGAGACGGCCCAGACUCCUACGGGCGGCAGCAGUGGGGAAUAUUGCACAAUGGGCGGAAGCCUGAUGCAGCAACGCCGCGUGCGGGAUGACGGCCUUCGGGUUGUAAACCGCUUUCGCCUGUGACGAAGCGUGAGUGGCGGUAAUGGGUAAAGAAGCACCGGCUAACUACGUG